RNAcentral lists this ribosomal RNA (312 nucleotides) under Triticum aestivum (bread wheat). RNAcentral describes it as "partial small subunit ribosomal RNA". The record is from RNAcentral. Lineage: Eukaryota; Viridiplantae; Streptophyta; Magnoliopsida; Poales; Poaceae.
AUGCCAUGGAGGCCAAGGACCAGAGGGGAAACCCUUCUCCCAUCUAGGGAGGAGGUCAAGGAAGAAGAGGAAGAAGGGGGCCCCUCUCCCCAUCUCCUCCGGUGGCGCCGGAACGCCGCCGUGGCCAUCAUCAUCAUCACCGCGAUCUUCACCAAUACCUCCGCCAUCUUCACCAACAUCUCCAUCACCUUCCCCCCUCUAUCUACAGCGGUCCACUCUCCCGCAACCCACUGUACCCUCUACUUGAACAUGGUGCUUUAUGCUUUAUAUUGUUAUCCAAUGAUGUGUUGCCAUCCUAUGAUGUCUGAGUAG